UCCAAAUCAUGGCAAGUCGAGCGAAUGUACGAAGAGCUUGCUCCUCUGAUUUAGCGGCGGACGGGUGAGUAACACGUGGGUAACCUGCCUGUAAGACGGGGAUAACUUCGGGAAACCGAAGCUAAUACCGGAUAAUAAAAAGAGACUCCUGUUUCUUUUUUGAAAGUCGGUUUCGGCUGACGCUUACAGAUGGGCCCGCGGCGCAUUAGCUAGUUGGUGAGGUAACGGCUCACCAAGGCCACGAUGCGUAGCCGACCUGAGAGGGUGAUCGGCCACACUGGGACUGAGACACGGCCCAGACUCCUACGGGAGGCAGCAGUAGGGAAUCUUCGGCAAUGGACGAAAGUCUGACCGAGCAACGCCGCGUGAGCGAUGAAGGCCUUCGGGUCGUAAAGCUCUGUUGUCAGAGAAGAACAAGUACCGGAGUAACUGCCGGUACCUUGACGGUACCUGACCAGAAAGCCACGGCUAACUACGUGCCAGCAGCCGCGGUAAUACGUAGGUGGCAAGCGUUAUCCGGAAUUAUUGGGCGUAAAGCGCGCGCAGGCGGUUCCUUAAGUCUGAUGUGAAAGCCCACGGCUCAACCGUGGAGGGUCAUUGGAAACUGGGGAACUUGAGUGCAGGAGAGAAAAGUGGAAUUCCACGUGUAGCGGUGAAAUGCGUAGAGAUGUGGAGGAACACCAGUGGCGAAGGCGGCUUUUUGGCCUGUAACUGACGCUGAGGCGCGAAAGCGUGGGGGAGCAAACAGGAUUAGAUACCCUGGUUAGUCCACGCCCGUAACCGAUGAGUGCUUAGGUGU
This 799-nucleotide ribosomal RNA is filed under the name Fictibacillus sp. RNAcentral's name for it is "bacterial SSU rRNA". It matches the Rfam family "Bacterial small subunit ribosomal RNA", at positions 47 to 823 of the family's 1533-position model. The record is from RNAcentral. Lineage: Bacteria; Bacillati; Bacillota; Bacilli; Caryophanales; Fictibacillaceae.